UAACCAGUACGAAAGACUGGCUAAUACCGCAUACGAACUGAGGUUGAAAGCGAGGGGAUCGCAAGACCUUGCGCUGAUGGAUGAGCCGAAGUCGGAUUAGCUUGUUGGUGGGUAAUGGCCUACCAAGGCGACGAUCCGUAGCUGGUCUGAGAGGACGACCAGCCACACGUGGGACUGAGACACCGGCCCAGACCUCCGUACGGGGAGGCAGCAGGUGGGGAAUAUUGGACAAUGGGCGCAAGCCUGAUCCAGCCAUGCCGCGUGCGGGACGAAGGCCUUCGGGUUGUAAACCGCUUUCAGCCGGAAAGAAAUCGCCAAGGCUAAUAUCCUUGGUGGAUGACGGUACCGGAAGAAGAAGCACCGGCUAACUACGUG
This 375-nucleotide ribosomal RNA is filed under the name uncultured bacterium. Its description in RNAcentral is "bacterial SSU rRNA". It matches the Rfam family "Bacterial small subunit ribosomal RNA", at positions 144 to 507 of the family's 1533-position model. The record is from RNAcentral.